RNAcentral lists this ribosomal RNA (297 nucleotides) under uncultured bacterium. RNAcentral describes it as "partial 16S ribosomal RNA". It matches the Rfam family "Bacterial small subunit ribosomal RNA", at positions 334 to 627 of the family's 1533-position model. The record is from RNAcentral.
UAGCCCCUACGGGACGCAGCAGUGAGGAAUAUUGGUCAAUGGGCGAGAGCCUGAACCAGCCAAGUCGCGUGAAGGAUGACGGCCCUAUGGGUUGUAAACUUCUUUUGUCAGGGAGCAAUUGGGUCCACGUGUGGGCUUAGCGAGAGUACCUGAAGAAAAAGCAUCGGCUAACUCCGUGCCAGCAGCCGCGGUAAUACGGAGGAUGCGAGCGUUAUCCGGUUUUAUUGGGUUUAAAGGGUGCGUAGGCGGAAUAUCAAGUCAGCGUUAAAAAUUCGGGGCUCAACCCCGUCGUGCCGU